UGGCUCAGGACGAACGCUGGCGGCGUGCCUAACACAUGCAAGUCGAGCGGGGACAUACGACGGAGUCAAAGUUUCGGAUGGAGACGAAGAUGUAUGUUCUAGCGGCGGACGGGUGAGUAACGCGUGAGCAACCUGUCCCUUACAGGGGGAUAACACAGCGAAAGUUGUACUAAUACCGCAUGAGACCACGGGAGGACAUCCUCCAGGGGUCAAAGGAGCAAUCCGGUAAGGGGUGGGCUCGCGUCCGAUUAGAUAGUUGGUGAGGUAACGGCCCACCAAGUCGACGAUCGGUAGCCGACCUGAGAGGGUGAUCGGCCACAUUGGGACUGAGACACGGCCCAAACUCCUACGGGAGGCAGCAGUGGGGAAUAUUGGGCAAUGGGGAAACCCUGACCCAGCAACGCCGCGUGAGGGAAGAAGGUUUUCGGAUCGUAAACCUCUGUCCUUGGUGAAGAGGAAGAGACGGUAGCCAAGGAGGAAGCCCCGGCUAACUACGUGCCAGCAGCAGC
RNAcentral lists this ribosomal RNA (509 nucleotides) under uncultured bacterium. RNAcentral's name for it is "bacterial SSU rRNA". It matches the Rfam family "Bacterial small subunit ribosomal RNA", at positions 20 to 518 of the family's 1533-position model. The record is from RNAcentral.